This 45-nucleotide non-coding RNA is filed under the name Trichobilharzia regenti. Lineage: Eukaryota; Metazoa; Platyhelminthes; Trematoda; Strigeidida; Schistosomatidae. The record is from RNAcentral.
AUCCAUCUGACGAGUCCCAAAUAGGACGAAAUGAGCAUCCUGGAU